CUGUCCUCCUUCCUGGACGUUAGCUUAUGAGGUGGGGAAAUUCUUAAAGAUACAACAAACAACAGGCAAAACUCCUGUGAACUUCAGUGAGAGAAUUAAGUCCUGUUUGCUAGCUUCCCCAGUGUAAAUGCUCUCAGCAAAAGGAAGAAACAUGCAAAUUUCAGUCAGAGCAUCCUACCCAAGAUCUCCCUCCAGCCACAGGAUUUUUGCGUCACAGGACCUGAUUUGCAUACUAGCUUCUUUGGAAUACCAGAUAACCCCAAGACAUUUUUCGAAACAAAAGUGUGAAGGUCAUCCUGGACUGGAUUUCUCAGGAUCAAGCUAUCUGAAGAACUAUUGGUGCUAUAUAAUUCCCCAGAUUCAACAUGUUCUGUGCUUAGCUGCUGACAAAGUUAUCUUCUUCUCUCUUUCUGGUGAGAUUGAGAUGCCUUACAGUACAAUAUAGACCUUGCAGUGCAAAAUUCAAAGAAUCUUUAAAUAAGUCUAUUUUACUAGGACAUCCCCCCAAAUGCAAUUGUAAAUACAGCAUAUUAGGCAAAUUAGGGACACGAAUGAUUCUCAGGGAAAUGAUCAUACAAUGUCUUGUCUACCAUACCAGGGAUUCUGGUCCUCUUGUCCUAAGACAAGCUAUAUAGGACUAGAACAACAAAAGUGGCUUUGAUUCAGCGCUGCUUCUGGGUUUUGCUGCUGCAGAACAAGUGUGGCUUCACAAGUGCACUCAUGUUAUUCCACAGUUCCAUCAAGAGGUACAUGACAUCUGCAGUAAGUACUGCUGUGGUAAUUCAGCAGGUGAUCGGAGAUUAAGACAAACCCAUCCUUUUAGAGCAGGACGCUCUGGUAUUUCACAGAGAAUAAGAUAAGAACAGGGUAGAGGCCAGGCUUGGAUGUACAGGGAUGUUCUAAAUAGCAGCAGGGAACCCUGGUAUGAACUUCUGGAAUGUAGUGUUCUGGUAAAAUAAAAUUAUUGCCAGCAGAUUCAGAAAAUCCUUCUGCCAGAAACAGACAUGAGCAAUUGUGGUGGGUUUCAUGUCCAACAACAGGCAGUUCUUGGCCAGCAUGCAUAGUGACAUUCAGCAGGACUCCCUAAAACGAACAUUUGCUAACAGUUUUCAUGCAGUUUCAAGAUUUACAGAUGAUUUCAAGCACCUGAGGAAACCAAUCACUUCCAAUACUACUGUGUAAUGAAUGUCAACAAAUGCUGUAGUAUAACCAGGCCUCAUAAUAUAGACAGUGGUAUUUCUUUUUUUUUUUCUUUAUGCUUAUUUUUUAAUGCAUAUUACUUGUUACGCUGUCUGUCUCUCAUAUCCCUAGCAUUUGCUUUCUUCUGGGAUUCACUGCUAAAAAUUAGAAAGAGCAGAACUGAGUAAAGGAGCCAUCAGUGUUGGAUAAAUGCCCUGCAGUGGUCAAGAGGUGAAUCACCUAAAGCAGGAAUUCCACAUAUUAGACUUGUCUAGCACACAUUUCAGGAAACGGUCUCAAAGGGAGAAGUGUUUUAUACAUGCCAUGGAUUUCCAGUAAAGAUUUUGCUUAUCAGUGUAUACUUAUUACAGGUCAGGGUGUUCCUCAGCAAUGCAACACCUGGCACAUACAGCCUUUUACAAAAGUAUAUAAACACACAC
Molecule: long non-coding RNA, 1619 nt
Organism: Cygnus olor (mute swan)
Lineage: Eukaryota; Metazoa; Chordata; Aves; Anseriformes; Anatidae
Exons: 3
Source: RefSeq, a predicted model, not a curated record